Molecule: long non-coding RNA, 738 nt
Organism: Lagopus muta (rock ptarmigan)
Lineage: Eukaryota; Metazoa; Chordata; Aves; Galliformes; Phasianidae
Exons: 3
Source: RefSeq, a predicted model, not a curated record
AAAGCAAGAACAAAUAUGGUGUUGCACUGAUGUGGAAACCAGUAUUCCUCUGUCUACUAGCCAGUUAUUUUAACUGGAAGGGAAGAGUUUCAUUUUAGUAACACCUGCAAAUUAUUUUAACUCCUUGUAAUAUAACAAAUUUCCAUGGAGGGAGAAAGGAGAGGUUGCUGCCUGUUGCUAAAGUGUAAACCCAAAUAGCAUAAAGCUGUUUCUGAUGUAAAGAUGUUUGCAAAAAGGCACGGAUUUUGCAAUCAGGAAGAGCAAGCAUUUUUCUUUUUCUCUAGAAUUCAAAUCUUUAGUUAUGCUUACAAAAUUAAUCUUAAGAGUUUUUCGGUAUUUGCAGGUGAAAGCUAAAUACAUGUGCAGGCUCUGUGGCAUGUGUUCAUUAUAAUGCUAUUAAUUUUCUUUUUGUACAUUACAGAUUUUAAACAGAGAAAACGAAAGUACAGCAGAUUCCUGCUGAAGCAUGAAUAACCAGGAAUGAUGGAAGAGCUGGCACCAUUUCACUAUCAGAAGCACUCACCUUCAGCAAGUUCAGGGUAAUCCCUUAACUUGAUUUUUGGGGCAGCACUGAUGGACUUGAACAGCUCAGCUGCAUCCAAGUACUAAAGGAAAUAAACCUUGCUAUCCUGAGUAGCAACUGUUAUUAUUUUAAGGAUGGAUUGAGUGAUGUGUGAGAACACUUCAAUAAAAAUUAUAUGAAGUCUUAUUUUCAUUUUCUUGAAGACUAUGCUGAGG